Molecule: ribosomal RNA, 460 nt
Filed under: uncultured bacterium
Lineage: Bacteria
Description: partial 16S ribosomal RNA
Rfam family: Bacterial small subunit ribosomal RNA
Source: RNAcentral
CCUACGGGAGGCAGCAGUGAGGAAUAUUGGUCAAUGGCCGGAAGGCUGAACCAGCCAUGCCGCGUGAAGGUCAGUGCCCUAUGGGCGUUAAACUUCUUUUGUGCCGGAGCAAUAAUGGUCACGUGUGGCCAGACGAGAGUACCGUACGAAUAAGCAUCGGCUAACUCCGUGCCAGCAGCCGCGGUAAUACGGGGGAUGCAAGCGUUAUCCGGGUUUAUUGGGUUUAAAGGGUGCGUAGGCUGUGAGGUAAGUCAUCGGUGAAAUGCCCCCGCUCAACGGGGUGAAGUGCCAUUGAUACUGCCUUGCUUGAAUGCGGAUGCCGUGGGAGGAAUGUGUGGUGUAGCGGUGAAAUGCAUAGAUAUCACACAGAACACCGAUUGCGAAGGCAUCUCACGAAUCCGCGAUUGACGCUGAUGCACGAAAGCGUGGGUAUCAAACAGGAUUAGAUACCCCGGUAGUC